UACGUAGGCAGCGAGCGUUGUUCGGAGUUACUGGGCGUAAAGGGUGUGUAGGCGGUUUUCUAAGUUUGGUGUGAAAUCUCCCGGCUUAACCGGGAGGGUGCGCCGAAAACUGGGAGACUAGAGUGCGGGAUGGGAGAGUAGAAUUCCUGGUGUAGCGGUGAAAUGCGUAGAUAUCAGGAGGAACACCGGUGGCGAAGGCGGGUCUCUGGGUAGUAACUGACGCUGAGGAACGAAAGCGUGGGUAGCGAACAGG
This 253-nucleotide ribosomal RNA is filed under the name uncultured bacterium. Its description in RNAcentral is "partial 16S ribosomal RNA". It matches the Rfam family "Bacterial small subunit ribosomal RNA", at positions 524 to 776 of the family's 1533-position model. The record is from RNAcentral.